Molecule: ribosomal RNA, 442 nt
Filed under: uncultured bacterium
Lineage: Bacteria
Description: partial 16S ribosomal RNA
Rfam family: Bacterial small subunit ribosomal RNA
Source: RNAcentral
CCUACGGGGGGCAGCAGUGGGGAAUAUUGGGCAAUGGGCGCAAGCCUGACCCAGCGACGCCGCGUGAGGGAAGACGGUCUUCGGAUUGUAAACCUCUUUCAGCAGGGAAGACAAAAGGACGGUACCUGCAGAAGAAGCCACGGCUAACUACGUGCCAGCAGCCGCGGUAAUACGUAGGUGGCAAGCGUUGUCCGGAUUUACUGGGUGUAAAGGGCGUGCAGCCGGGAAGACAAGUCAGAUGUGAAAUCCCGCGGCUCAACCGCGGAACUGCAUUUGAAACUGUUUUUCUUGAGUACCGGAGAGGUCAUCGGAAUUCCUUGUGUAGCGGUGAAAUGCGUAGAUAUAAGGAAGAACACCAGUGGCGAAGGCGGAUGACUGGACGGCAACUGACGGUGAGGCGCGAAAGCGUGGGGAGCAAACAGGAUUAGAUACCCCAGUAGUC